This 340-nucleotide ribosomal RNA is filed under the name uncultured fungus. Its description in RNAcentral is "eukaryotic LSU rRNA". The stretch from base 1 to 125 matches the Rfam family "5.8S ribosomal RNA", at positions 30 to 154 of the family's 154-position model. The record is from RNAcentral. Lineage: Eukaryota; Fungi.
GCAUCGAUGAAGAACGCAGCGAAAUGCGAUAAGUAAUGUGAAUUGCAGAAUUCAGUGAAUCAUCGAAUCUUUGAACGCACAUUGCGCCCAUUAGUAUUCUAGUGGGCAUGCCUGUUCGAGCGUCAUUUCAACCCCUAAGCACAGCUUAUUGUUGGGCGUCUACGUCUGUAGUGCCUCAAAGACAUUGGCGGAGCGGCAGCAGUCCUCUGAGCGUAGUAAUUCUUUAUCUCGCUUCUGUUAGGCGCUGCCCCCCCGGCCGUAAAACCCCCAAUUUUUUCUGGUUGACCUCGGAUCAGGUAGGAAUACCCGCUGAACUUAAGCAUAUCAAUAAGCGGAGGAA